Molecule: long non-coding RNA, 1564 nt
Organism: Betta splendens (Siamese fighting fish)
Lineage: Eukaryota; Metazoa; Chordata; Actinopteri; Anabantiformes; Osphronemidae
Exons: 3
Source: RefSeq, a predicted model, not a curated record
AGUUCUACUCUGCUCAGACUUAGAAUAAUUUCUCUGCCUUACUGCUUAAUCCUGGUGGGAAGAUUCGGCGUUGCGUGCGUGUGUGCUUGCGCUGUUGCGGUGAUCGCGUCGUGAUCAGCUGAGGUGGCAGCCAGUGAGACAAUUAAGCUAUACCACUAUAGGUUUCCUGCCGGGUGGCUGGGAGUAGAUGGGUGAUCAGGCCCGUUCUCUGUGGCGAUGUCCACUGUGGUUACACUGCUGGCUGCGGUGGAGGCUCCAGGCGUGCCAGGGGCAGAUGGAAGCUCCAGGUGGACGGAGAGAAGAAAGGUCUGCAGCGGACUUGAGGUAGAAAGGACAAGGGUCGAAGAGAACAAGGGAUGAGUCUUUGGUCACAUCAGAUUUCAUAGCCGUGUUUUCGGUCACGCCCGUCCUAUUGUUUGGUCCAAUCAGGAUGGCUGACGUCCAAGUUCCUCCACCGUUUGUCGUUUGUAUCAGCGGGGAGUUCGGACGUCUCAGCGGGGGAGCCAGCCACUGAUGGACGGAUUGUAUAAUUGGACCCUCCAGAAAGCACACAGUCUGUGACAUGUGAUGAAGAUGAAGACCACUUCUGCUGGGGCAGAAUUGGACGGGGGGAUUUACUGUAAAUGCAGAUGAGGGUCGAUUUAUGUCAUCACAAAAUCUAAGCAGUGUAAGAAUUUGUCUGCAGUUGUAUUUUCCUCACAUAAUGUUUUAUAUAUAAUUUUAUUACAUACAAAUAUUCCUUUUUUAAUGCCUUCCUAGAGCUGUAUAAGGUCCAUCUUCAACAACAAAUCAACUUGAGAUGGAUCUUAUACAGCUCAAAAUAGAGGAGAAAGGACUGGCCAUAAAAAGGCUAAACUCGAAAUUGAAAUACUGGAGCACCGCCUUAAGGUUAGGACUUUAACUGAACAUUAAUGUUACAAUUUGAAGUGCGGUUGUGUGAAGCAGUGUAAAUAUUGUUCCUUUUUUUCAGGACAGGAAGAAAUAAAGGGCACUCUUGAUGCAGGAACCUUUUAAAAAAGUGAUUCUGACAAAUCAUGUGUCUUCCAAGAGUCUUCCAUCCCUGUGGUCUAUUUGGUUCACUACUGGAUCCUCUUGGUCAUCUUCAUCAGGACAAGGAGGGUGGCUCACUUCCUUUAUCGGCAAUGUUGUGAAGGACCACACAACCCACUAUAAUGUCACAUGUGUUGGAAAAAUACUGCAUUUAAUCAUUGAAACAUAUUUUCAUGAAGCCUCGUUAGCUGUGCUAUAGCUUUGAAGUUUCCUUCCUUCUGCUCUGCAAGAAAUAGGGAGUACCGGUGUGUAGCAUCCUUAUCUGAUGAGCCCAAUGCUUGCUUUGUGCAGAAAAUAUUUCCCAUGUACUGUGUGACUAUGCACCUCGCAGAAUGCAAUACAUAUUAUGAGCUGAAUCCUUCUCUUCAGUGAGAGGAAGUUGCCUUUGCUGUAAACUGCUCACUCCUUGCAAGUAAAAUCCUGUAAAAUCCUGUCUCAACUGAUUGUGUCUGCUUUAUUUAAGAUUUACAAAGGGAACUAACAAUUUCCCUAACAACAUGCCCUCUCUGGACUG